GAGCGAUCUUCUUCGGAAGGGAGCGGCGGACGGGUGAGUAACGCGUGGGUAACCUGCCCUGUACACACGGAUAACAUACCGAAAGGUAUGCUAAUACGGGAUAACAUAAGAAAGUCGCAUGGAUUUCUUAUCAAAGCUUUUGCGGUACAGGAUGGACCCGCGUCUGAUUAGCUAGUUGGUAAGGUAACGGCUUACCAAGGCGACGAUCAGUAGCCGACCUGAGAGGGUGAUCGGCCACAUUGGAACUGAGACACGGUCCAAACUCCUACGGGAGGCAGCAGUGGGGAAUAUUGCACAAUGGGCGAAAGCCUGAUGCAGCAACGCCGCGUGAGCGAUGAAGGCCUUCGGGUCGUAAAGCUCUGUCCUCAAGGAAGAUAAUGACGGUACUUGAGGAGGAAGCCCCGGCUAACUACGUGCCAGCAGCCGCGGUAAUACGUAGGGGGCUAGCGUUAUCCGGAAUUACUGGGCGUAAAGGGUGCGUAGGCGGUCUUUCAAGUCAGAAGUGAAAGGCUACGGCUCAACCGUAGUAAGCUUUUGAAACUGUAAGACUUGAGUGCAGGAGAGGAGAGUGGAAUUCCUAGUGUAGCGGUGAAAUGCGUAGAUAUUAGGAGGACACCAGUUGCGAAGGCGGCUCUCUGGACUGUAA
This 646-nucleotide ribosomal RNA is filed under the name uncultured Clostridium sp. Its description in RNAcentral is "bacterial SSU rRNA". It matches the Rfam family "Bacterial small subunit ribosomal RNA", at positions 64 to 739 of the family's 1533-position model. The record is from RNAcentral. Lineage: Bacteria; Bacillati; Bacillota; Clostridia; Eubacteriales; Clostridiaceae.